AAUUUGCACGAGAUGAAAGGUCGCGUCGCUUAGAGUGCCCGAAGCUUCUAGAAUUUCAUUACGGCGCUGAGUUCUCAGGAAACCCUAGGGUUUCCUUGCCUGUUUUUUUACUUUGGGCCUUUUGGGCCCCGUGUAAACCUAGGUCAAGGUGCUGGGUUUUUUUUUUGGGUGUAAAUGGGUCCAGUAAGCUUAAGUGGUUUGGAUUUGGGCUUUAGCACUGUAUUUAGGUGUUACCGGGUAAUACUUCUAUAUUGAAUCAAAACACCUAGGCUUUGUAAUUGGACUUUUAAAUGGACAUUUUAAAUAAAUAAAUACUUAUUUAUUUAAUUCUUUUAUUCUGUUUUUAGCCGGUCAAAUUUGGGCUGCUACAGCUGCCCCUCUUUGCUCAUUGCUGUGUGACGGGAAUCGAGCAAAUAUUUAGAAAGACCAAAUUUGACCGGUCUUAUCAAAUCAUGGUCUUCAACCUGCUUCUUACAAACUUAUGACUGUCAUGUCGGUAUCUUCGAUCUGCUCUCUGACAAAACCGAGACGCCGAAUCUGCCUUCUUCGAUUUGCUCUCUGCGAAUACAGAGAUGCCAAGUCAUCUUAGAUUUGUUUCAGUGUAAGCAUGCGAAAACCAAAUCGGCUAUGUCUUCGAUUUGCUCCUUAUAAGCACAAGGAUACCAAACCAUCUUGGAUCUGCUUCAGUCUAGUCAUCUGAAGGUUAGAUCUGCUAUGUGUCUACCCUCCGUCGAAUAUGGAGACGCCAAACUUCGAUUUGUUCUCUGACAAUACAGAGAUGCCAAAUCAUCUUAGAUUUGCUUCAUCGUAAACACGUGAAAGCCAAACCAGCUAUGUAUUCGAUUUGUUCCUUGUAAGCACAAUGAUGCCAAAUCAUCUUGGAUCUUGCUUCAAUAUAAACAUCUGAAGGCCAGAUCUGCUAUGUGUCUGCUCUCCGUCGAAUAUGGAGACGCCAAACUUCGAUUUGCUCUCUGACAAUAUAGAGAUGCUAAAUCAUCUUAGAUUUGCUUCAUCGUAAGCACGUGAAAGCCAAAUCAGCUAUGACUUUGAUUUGUUCCUUGUAAGCACAGGGAUGCCAAACCAUCUUGGAUCUUGCUUCAGCCAGAUUUGCUGUGCUGCGGCCUAUUACCCUACUGCUUAGGGGAUUAAGGCGCGUCAUCUUUGAUAACAUGUAAAAUGAUUAUGCCUGAUAAUUAAGAUGCUAUGAUCGAAGUGAGUCGAACAUGUUAUGGUGCAACAUGUUAUGAACAUGAUCCCUAUCCUAGAUGUCACCACUCAUUCCUUCACUUGUCUUUUCUCUUCUCAAAGUAUUAUUCUUACUCAGCUUGUAGGCCUGUAGCCUUCCUCACAGGCUACGAUCCACUGAGGAUGUCUGUAAGAUAAUCUUUCCUUAGAAUUGAAUCGUUGGUUUUGUCCAUUUUCCUUUUGGACUGGAAGAAAGAAAUUCCUCGAGUUCCUUCAUCCCUUACUUAUGUGAAUUUCUCGAACAAUUGUCCUAUUUUAGUUUCUUUUAUUAUCUAGAAAUUCCAGAGUAAUGCGCAAAACUUCGUUUGUGAACAUUUUAGUUCAUCUAUCAUUAUUUCGAUGCAACAUACUUAAAGAAUAAUAGAAGAUGAAUAAAUUUUAAGAAUAAUUGGAUUUGAAUGAAUUAUCGAAAAAGAUACAAAGGAAAUUAAUCUGAAAGCCUAUCUUUGAGAAGAAAAAAAAAUCUAAAGAUAGCAAACAGGCCAAAAUUAGAUGCCCUAGAUAUCGCCGCUUGAGCGCUUAUACAUCAACUUCAUGAAGGGAUGUGUUUAGGAGAUUCAAAGUACUCUGUCGAUGCCCCAAUAUGCAACAUUCUUCGUUCUUUGUUAAGCAAGAUUAUCGGAUGCUUCAAAAUUUGAGUCGCCUUUUCGGGUUGUCAACUCAAAACCCCUUUGGUCACAAGGUGCCCUUUGAGGGUUUUCACCAAGGCCUCUCUAUUUUUUUUUUGAAAAUCGAAACCUCAAAGUGCCCUUUGUGGGUUUUCACCUUGGAUUCUUUUCUCCUUUAGACAAAGUAUUUUUUAACUGAGUCUGAGUUUACUGGGUUGGGUAAACUUUUUCCAUCCAUUUCCGUUAAGAUUAAUGCACCGCCAGAGAAAGUUUUCUUCACGACAUACGGCCCUUCCCAGUUCGGCAUCCAUUUUCCCCUAAAGUUCUUUUGAAUAGGAAGGAUCUUUUUCAGUACAAGGUCUCCUUCGUGGAACUCUCUUGGUCGAACUUUCUUAUCAUAAGCUUGCAUCAUUCGCUUCUGAUACAUCUGACCAUGUCAAUGGCUCUUAGCCUCUUUUCCUCAAUCAAGUUCAACUGGUCAUAUCGGGAUUGAACCCAUUCAGCUUCAUCUAACCUUAUCUCUGUCAAAAUUCGAAGAGAAGGUAUUUCUACUUCAAUAGGUAACACUGCUUCCAUCCCAUAAACUAACGAGAAUGGGGUUGCCUCAGUAGAGGUUCUGACAGAUGUUCGAUAGGCCAGGAGUGCAAACAGUAACUUCUCAUGCCAAUCCCUAUAAGUCUCAGUCAUCUUCCCCACUAUUUUCUUAAUGUUCUUGUUGGCGGCCUCCACUGCCCCAUUCAUUUUUGGAUGAUAGGGAGAUGAAUUGUGAUGCUUAAUCUUAAACUGGUCGCAAACCUCUGCUAUCGUUUUAUUGUUUAAGUUCAAUGCAUUGUCGGAUAUGAUCUUCUCAGGCAUUCCAUACCGACAAAUGAUCUCCUUCUUCAAGAAUUGACUUACAGUUGAUUUAGUAACAUUCGCAUAAGAAGCAGCUUCUACCCAUUUUGUAAAGUAGUCAAUUACCACGAAGAUAAACAGAUGUCCAUUCGAAGCUUUUGGUGAUAUUGGUCCAAUGACAUCUAUGCCCCACAUGGAUAAGGGUCAUGAAGAAGUUAUAACAUGCAAAGGUGAAGGUGGUACAUGAAUUUUGUCCCUAUAAAUCUGACACUUAUGGCAUUUCUUGGUAUAGUUGAUACAGUCCCCUUCCAUAGUGGCCCAAUAAUAGCUAAACCUCAUGAUUUGCCUUACCAUCGUGAACCCAUUUGUAUGCAUCCCACAUACACCUUCAUGAGCUUCUUCUCAGAUUAGCUUAGCUUCCACAGCAUCGACACAUCUCAAAAGUACUUGGUCUUUCCUUCUCUUGUACAGGACAUCUCCGUCCAAGACAUAGUCGCAAGCUAACCUUCUCAAAGUUCGGUUGUCAUUUUCAUUGGCCUGUUCAGGGCAUUUAUGAUCUCUCACAUAUCGUAAUAUAUCCUGGUACUAAGGGUUAUCAUCCUUUUCUUCCUUCUUAAUGUUACAACAACGAGCUGGAGCCUCGUAGACACUCAUUUGAAUUGGUCUUAUCUCCUCCUCUUUAUUCACCUUAAUCAUUGAGGCCAAGGUUGCUAAAGCAUCUGCCAUCUGAUUCUCGUCUUGUGGGAGAUAAUUGAAGGUGAUGUCAUCGAACUCCUCAAGUAAUCCCAAAACUACCUUUCGAUAAUUGAUCAAUUUAGGGUCCCUUCUCUCCCAUUCACCUCUAAGCUGAUAAAUUACCAACGCAGAAUCUCCAUAUACUUUUAGGGUUUUUAUACCUCGCUCUAUAGCUGCUUGAAGUCCCAUGAUGCAUGCUUCAUACUCAGCCAUAUUGUUUGUGCAAUCAAAGUUCAACUUGCACGUGAACGGAUAAUGAUCGCCAUUCGGGGAUACCAAGACUCACUACAGCAAAACAGAUUUUUAGCGGCGCUUUUUUAGCCUUUAGCGGCAUUUCUAAGCGCCACUAAAACUUUUUGCGGCGCUUUUGAAAACGCCGCAAAAAACGCCGCUAUAGAUGGCGCCGCAAAAACUGGUGGCGUUUAUUAAAAAAAAGCGCCGCUAAAAGUCGUGGCCCUUAGCGGCGUUUGAAGAAAAAGCGCCACUAAAAGUCGUGCUCUUUAGCGGCGUUUGAAGAAAAAGCGCCGCUAAAAGUCGUGGCCUUUAGCGGCGUUUUUCCCACAAACGCCGCUAAUUUUGGCUGAUUUGCAAUACUUUUUUUCCACCAAUAUUCAGCCCUUCCUGCAUUAAAAUCCAACCAAAUACAACAAAUAUAGCAUAAAAUGCGGCCAAAAUACCAAAUUUAGCAUAAAAAAAUACAACCAAAAAUAUUAAUUCUAAAUAAUACUUCAAAUUAACGAAAGAUAUAUGAUGUCAUUAAUAAAGUAUGAUUUAAAAUAUUCUUAGAAUAAUGUUAAACGUGACAAAGUUAAAAAUAUUCUUACAACGGGAAAACUAAUGUCUAAGAUGGCAGCUUUUGCGACUGUUGAAACAUCUGCAUCAUCUGCUAAAGCUGUAGCUGGAGGUCAUCGUACUUUUUCCUAUGCUCUGCCUCUCUCGCUGUUGCCGCUGCCUCCCUCGCUGUUGCCUCCGCUCUAAGUUGUUGCUGGAGUUCUUCAUAUUUUCGUUGAACCUCGGCAAUUUGCUCAACUGUGUUCGCUUGCAUCUGAGCUAUCUGAUCUCUUAACCUCUGAACUUCAGCUUUAGCUUGACUUCCGGAAGGCAUGUAUUGCUGGGAGCCGGAUCCAAAAUAUUGGGUCGGGGUAACACCAGAUCCUUGAAAUCGAACCCGACCGUACCUUUCAGGACCCAAAACUUCAGUGAUAAUUCUGUUAUCAAUGUUCUCAAGAUUAACAGAACUAUCAGUCGAAGUAGUCGCUUCAUAUUCCGCCUUCUUAUCCUUUAGUUUCUCCUAAAAAAUCAAUUAAAAAGUUAGAAACGAAAUAUAUAAUAAAAAGGAAUGCAACAUAACAUUAUUUAAAACUACUAAUGAUGAAUUGAAUUAAACAAUUAUAAUUAAAUAUUAUAAAUAUUUAGAAUAAAUCAAAUAUUAUUAAGUAAAUAUACCAUAAUUUCUCCAGCUUCGGAUGUCAUAGGAGAUCCAUCUUUUUUCCUAUGCGUAAUCUCAAAAAGCUGAAAGCGCCCAACUUUUUGUCCAGAUUUGACUUCCUACAAUAUAGUAGUAAAAAUAUUAUUUAAUAUUAGAAAGUUAUUAAUAUUUGAAAGAAUUAAUAAAAUUUUAAUACCUCGGCCUCAGCUACAGAAGCAAAACUUCUCGACCCUGCCGUGUGCGUGAAUUUUUGUUUUUGCCUGCUGCUUAUUCCAACUCGCUCACGGUCCUACAUAAUGAAAUUAUUAUUACGUAUAUAGUAAACACUAUAUAUAAGAGUUUAGAAAUACGUAAUACCUCUCCUUUCUUUGAAUUCCAGAAUCUAACCGCAUCUUCUCAUUGGUACCUCAGCAUUCCCGGCGGGACAUUUCUCAAUUUUUCCUCGAGGCUUAUGUCUUUCUUAAAAUAUUGUUUUUUUAAAAUGCUUUUAUUGUCUCUCCAUUUUUUACCCAAUGUCUUCUUGAUAUAAUCAUCGGAGACCUCUAAAGGAAAUCUAUCCUAAAAAAACACAAGUUUAGAAUGCAAAUAUGAAUGAAACUUAAACCAAAAUAUUAUAAAUUACAUUCACAUUUUGUUACCUUAAUAUUAGCGAGAGCCUGAUUUUUGUUGCUAUCAGGCAUGUGAUGCCAUGAUUCGUAGUUGAUGGGCAACUUAUUGGCAUUUCAUGCUAAAAUGCCAAUAUAGCCUACUAAAAGUCGAGCUUCAGAUCCAACAGGCUGGCCAUAAGUAUUUCUACUUACUUUGACACGGUCGGCAGGAUCUAAGUCGUAUAAAUCACUAAGCAGUGUACGUCCUCGAGCUCUGCGCGUCCCACCAUUUUCAGCUGAAAAAUGAUAUACUAUUAUUAUAUUAAAAUUUACAAAUAAAUUAAUAAUAAAAGUCAACACAUGUAAAAUAAACGUAACAUUACUUUGAAAUUCUUCAGGCUCGUCAAGUGUCUCUGGCACAUUCGAAGAUCCAACAACUGUCUGCUGUUCACUAUUUCCUUCUUCCGAAUUUAGAGUAUUUUGGACAAUACUUAAACCACGUAAUCUUCUUCUACGCAUUUUUCCUGCAAUACACAUAAAAUAGUUAAAGUUUUAGUAACAAAUUACAACAAUAAUAGUACAUAUAAAAUAGUCAAAUUAUAUAACAUGACCAAGAUUAAAAUUAUAAUAUUACAUAUAAUUAAAAAAACGUAAAAUCUUACUACAUCAUUAUUCGUAAAUAUCUUCAUUCACAUCAUCUCGAACCCAUUGAUAUUGUGUACUAGUACUAGGGAUAUUUUCAUCUAAGUUUUGUUCUGGAAAAGGUAAUGUUUCUGAUCUUUCAACAAUGUCAUCUCUACUUCCAUUACCCAUGUCAAACAAGUCUCUAGGGGUGUUCCGGAGUACAACAUACCAACCUUCAUCAAUUGGAUCUUUCGAAUAAAAAACUUGUUUCACUUGAGAGGAAAAUACAUAUGGCUCGUCCAUCAAUUGUUGUCCAGUGUGAAUCAAGCGAGAGAAAUUCACCAUUGUAAAACCAAAUUGAUCUUUUUUAAUUCCUCGAGCAGUAUUAACAUCAGAACAAUCACACCGAAAUAAGAUAACUUUCCAUCUACCAUAGUAAUCCAACUCAAUAAUGUCGGUAAGAAGUCCGUAAUACUCCACAUUACCCUCAACCGGAUUACUAUCCCUAGCACUAGCAUAACUUGUAAUUGAAGAAUUAACAACAACUCCACAAUUUUGAGUUCUCCUCAUUCUCUCGCGAUACUUUGUAUGAAAUCUGUAUCCAUUGAUGAGGAAGGCACUAUAUCUUUUUAUUACUCUGUUCGGACCUUGGGAAAGCCAUUUAAUUUCGUCAUUGACGUCCUUCCCACUCCAAACCUACUGAAUCGAAAGUAAAUUAAAUAAUUAUAAAUGUAUUAUGUAAAAACAUUCUUAUUUGAUUAACUAAAUUUCGCGAUUAUAUGUAACUUAUUAACUUUAGUUACAUACCGUUUGACUUAACCAUUCAUGAAAAGAUUAUGUGAAUAACUUAUUAAUCUCUCGAUGUUGUAAUCUUUGAGAGCGUGCACGAGAUCUCAAAAUUUGUUUGUACUCACUAUAUUAAAAACAAGUUUAAUUGGUUAGAAGAUAAACAAAUCAAAACGACGAAUAUGUAAGACAAUUUUAUAACUUGCGCAACGAUUCAAUUGAAUCAUGGUGAAAAAGUACAUAUCGAUGUGCCUGUAUCCACGAUAUAUCAUCUAAUUCUACAAUUUCAACUUUGCCGAUUGGUUCUCCAUAACUUUGAAAUAAAUAAGUUUCGGCCAAGUCAUGAUCAUUGAGCCCAGCAUUUCUACUUGGUCUAUUCAAUCGUGUUUCAGCAUCUUCUAAAUAUCUAGAACAGAAGGUCAUGCACUCUUCUGCCAAGUAGCCUUCAGCAAUUGAUCCUUCUGGAUAACACUUAUUGCGACAAUAUGACUUCAAUUUGCUUAGGAACCUAAACACGAUAUACAAUAUUUAUCAAAAGCUGUAACUAAAUGUAUAGAGGUGAAUGAAUGAAUACUUGAGAAAUAAAUUAGCACCUUUCUAUAGGAUGCAUCCAUCGAUAAAAAAUCGGUCCACCAAGGAUUGCUUCGUGAGGGAGAUGGAUUACCAAGUGCACCAUAAUAGUGAAGAAGGAAGGUGGAAAGAUCUUCUCUAAAUUGCAUAAAGUUAAAGCCGCUCGAUCCUGUACUUUCUCAAGUUCUUCGACAUUCAAAACUUUGCCACAAAUAGCUUUCAUUAUACUAGAUAGUUCAAUUAUACAGGACGUUACAUUUUUUGACAUACAGCACCGUAAAGCAAUUGGGAGUAAAUCUUGCAUCAAGAUGUGGUAAUCAUGUGAUUUUAAUGAAUAUAAUCUUCGGUCUUUGAAACUCACACAUCGAGAUAUAUUUGACGCAUACGCAUCUUGAACCUUUAUAUCCUUCAACACCAUGCAGAAAACUUCUUUCUCUUUCUUUGACAUUGAAAAAAUAGAAGGCGGCAACCGAUAUUUCCCAUUCGGCAGUAUUUGAGGAUGAAGAUCAUGCCGGAUUCUCAUGUCAACUAAAUCAAGUCGGCUCUGAAGAUUGUCUUUGAUUUCCCAUCGACAUUUAAAAUUGUCCCAAUAUAUUCUCGCAGACAUUCUUCUCAAUAUGCAUGACAUCAAGAUUGUGGCGUAAAAUGCUGUGCUCCCAAUAAGGCAACUAAAAAAAAUACUCCUUUUCUUCCACAAUUCCUCCUCAUUAGGAUCAUCCUCUUCGUCAGAUUCAUCAUCAGAUUCAUCCCUUGAUCUGCUCCUUGUUUGCGUGAUAGGUGGUUGAUUCAUCUUCCCGUAACUAAAGUUGAUAUCUUUUAACAUAAACAAGAUUUCAGAUCCAACGGUCUGCUCAAGAGCUCCUCUGUACUCUUCAGUACCGUCAAAUAGAGUCCUCUGAAAUCUAAAUUUAUGAUUUUCAUCUAACCACCGACGAUGGCCCAUGUAAGAGAACUUCUACGCAUUAUACAACCACUUCGAACAAGUUUGCGCAGCACAACAAGGACAGGCAUAACGUCCUUUAGUACUCUAACCUGAUAAAUUAGCAUAAGCCAGGAAAUCAUUAAUUGUCCACAAUAAAGCUGCACGUAAAUUAAAGUUCUCCGUUCUCAAUACAUCAUAUGUCUCAACACCCGACCAUAAUUGUUUUAACUCUUCAAUAAGUGGCUGCAAAUAGAUGUCAAUAUCAUUUUCGGGACCUUUCUCUCCAGGGAUAAUCAUUGAUAAAAUAAAUGAAGAUUGCUUCAUGCAAAUCCAUGGAGGCAAAUUGUAAGGAACAAGCACUACAGGCCAAGUACUAUACGAAGUACUCAUGAUUUUAAAUAGAUUAAAGCCAUCAGCUGCUAGCCCAAGCCUCACAUUCCGAGGAUCGCUUGCAAAGCUUGGAAAUUUACUGUCAAAUGAUUUCCAAGCUAAAGAAUCCGCAGGAUGUCUUAAUAAUCCAUCAUCGGUCCGUUGAUCAUUAUGCCACCUCAUAGAUUCGGCUAUCUUUAAGGACAUGAAAAGCCUUUGAAGUCUUGGUAUCAGGGGAAAAUAUCGCAAGACCUUGACUGGCUUCUUUCUUAACUGUUCCCCCUUCAUCCGUAUUCACAUCUUCUGUAUUACUAUUCAUCCAAUGAGACUUACCGCAAACAUGACAAGAUUGUUGGUUUUUCUGAUCACCCCAGUACAACAUGCAGUCAUUUGGGCAACUAUGAAUUUUAUCGUACCCAAGGCCCAAAUCUUUUAUUAGUCUCUUCAUAUCCUGACAAGACUGGGGAAUUUUUGCAAGCGGAAACAUCUCUCUUAGAAACUCUAGCAGCAUUGUAAAAGAGUUUCCGGUCCACCCUCCCAAAUAUUUUAAGUGAAAUAGACGAAUGCAGAAGGACAAUUUCGAAUAUUUUGAUCCCUCGUAAAGUUCUUCAUUCAUUUUAUUAAGUAAAUUGUAGAACUUAGCCGCUUCUUCAUUUGGCUCUUCAUUAGGUGCACUUGUUCCCGUUUCGCAAAAAACAUUUCCAGUAAUAUUACAAUCCUCAGAUAUAAUAAAGUCAGGUGGAAACGAUUGCUCACCAUGACUACGCAUAUUAAAUGCAUCCCGCAACAUAUCUUCCAUGUCAUCUUGUCUAACAUACUGAUGGUAAUCAGUAUCAGGAUAAGUCGGAUUAAUCGUUGAAGAAGUUCCACUAGAUGUACACUCUCAAUGGAAAAUCCAUUUUUUAUACCCCCGAAUAAAGCCAUCAACAAUUAGAUGUUCGUAGACAACUUUACGAAAAUGCCAGUAGAUGUUGCCACACUUCUUACAUGGGCAAAGAAUCAUAUUCUCUUGGCUUGCAUUUUGAAAUGUAAAAUUUAGAAAAGUUUGUACUCCAUUUUGAUAGACAUUGCUUACCCUUGACAAUUUCAUCCAACUCCUAUCCAUUUUGUAGUUCUUGAAAUCUAAAGUUCACAACAUAUUACAGUUACUUAAAUGUUCUCAAUUGAUUUAAAUCAUAUCAUUAUACUAAAUAUCAAGUCUCUAAUGGGUAUAAACUAAUUCAGGCAAGUUGCGAGAUUUUCAACUAUAGAUUUAUGUAUUAUGUAAGUUAAGUAAAUUUCGUAAACUAGUUAUGUAUGAUAUGAUAUAUAUUUAAGUAUUAUGUAAGUUAUGUAAGUUAUGAUAUGAUAUAUAUAUUUAUGUAAAUUAUAUAUUUAUCUAAGUUAUAUAAGUUAUGUAAGUUAUGUAAAUUAUGAUAUAAAAUAUAUUUAAGUAUUAUGUAAGUUAUGUAAGUUAUAUAUUUAUCUAAGUUAUAUAAGUUAUGUACGUUUUGUAAGUUAUAUAAAUUAUGAUAUCAAAUAUAUUUAUGUAUUAUGUAAGUUUUUUAUUUCACGAUGUGGAAAAUCACAUGGAUAAUACAUAUCAAGUAUCAAGUAUCUACAGGUAAGUAGCAGGAUUAAAUAAUAUUUAAUUAAAUAAUAUUUAUAAAAAUUAUUUUAAUUAAGUAAUAUACAUGUCGUUCGUUUUUAUUUGACAAAUCACAUGUGCAGUUAAAAUAGUCCACACUUAAUUUAAUUUAUGUUUUACAAGUCAUCUUUUCUUAAGUACAUAUUAAAGCACUGUGUGGACAUCCGUAUUUAGCUUAAAAGCUAUGAUUUAGUUUGAAUAAAAAGUUUAACUUAAAUGGUAAAACGGACGAUAAUAUUUGUGAUAAAACAGAGAAUUUUUUAAGAUUCAUCAUACGCGGCGUUGUUACACCUAGGGAGGAUCCAUUAUAUCUUGCAGCUCGAUAUAAGGCAACCCGUCAGGUUUCCAGCCUAUAUACUUUGAAUCUUUAAAAUAUUUAAAAUAAGGUUGGAGAGAAGGUCAGCCAUUGUUGUAAUUUUGAUAAAAAUUAGUUAUAACUUUUAAAGACAUUUAAAAAUAUUAAAUAUUAAAAUCAAACAUUAUUAAUGCAAAAAAAUAGUAAUUUGAAUAUAAUAAUAUAAAAAAAGAAUCGUAGUUUAAUUUUUAUAAGUAAAUUGGAAAUAAAUAUUCAAUAGUAAAUGAGCUCGAUAGAACUUUUUUCAAGUCUUUUUGAAUUUUUUAAGAUCCAUCAUAUGUGACGUUGUUACACCUAGGGAGGAUCCAUUAUAUCUUGCAGCUCGAUAUAAGGCAACCCGUCAGGUUUCCAGCCUACAUACUUUGCAUCUUUAAAAUAUUUAAAAUAAGGUUGGAGAGAAGGUCAGCCAUUGUUGUAAUUUUGAUAAAAAUUAGUUAUAACUUUUAAAGACAUUUAAAAGUAUUAAAUAUUAAAAUCAAACAUUAUUAAUGCAAAAAAAUAGUAAUUUGAAUAUAAUAAUAUAAAAAAAGAAUCGUAGUUUAAUUUUUAUAAGUAAAUUGGAAAUAAAUAUUCAAUAGUAAAUGAGCUCGAUAGAACUUUUUUCAAGUCUUUUUGAAUUUUUUAAGAUUCAUCAUACGUGGCGUUGUUACACCUAGGGAGGAUCCAUUAUAUCUUGCAGCUCGAUAUAAGGCAACCCGUCAGGUUUCCAGCCUAUAUACUUUGAAUCUUUAAAAUAUUUAAAAUAAGGUUGGAGAGAAGGUCAUCCAUUGUUGUAAUUUUAAUGGACAAGCAAGCUACACGGUAAUAAAAUUAAUUCAUACUUAUUCAUACUUAAGCUGAAUCAAAUAAUAAUUAAGUUGAACCAAAUAUUUAAAAUUAAUUUGGUAACAAAAUAGUUCUGCUCCAAACAGAACCAGCAAUUAAAUCUUUACAAAAUCGCAACCCCAAAAUAUUAAUUUUUCCAAAAUCAUCAUGAUAAAACUAUUAUUGAUUAGAAUUUUGAAAUAAAACGUACCUUAAUAAAACGUACCUGGUCUACUCCACUCUCACCAGCAAACAGAGGCUGGAGUCAAAAAAGUAAUAUUUGUUAAGUAAUUUAAAGUGAAAAUGCAUAGAAAUAAGGAAAAAAAAUUUAGCAACGAAACCUAUACGUACCUAGAACAAAUGUCAAUGGCUGUGGUGUAUUUAGUUGAACCAAAUAUUAAUUCAGGUACUCGAUAGUACCUAGAACAGAUGUAAGAUUAUAAGAGUAGCACCAAAUAUAUUUCAGUUUAAGCAAAUAUAAAAACUUUAUCUAUAUCAGUACCAAAUAUUAAUUCGAAGAUUAAAUGGCAGCUUCAGUUGAACCAAUAGUUGCAAGAGGAGCAGGAAGCAGUAACUGAAAUACAUACAACAUUAAUUCACUAAUACAGACACAUGUAAGAUUAUAAGAGUAGCACCAAAUAUAUUUCAGUUUAAGCAAAUAUGAAAACUUUAUCUAUAUCAGUACCAAAUAUUAAUUCGAAGAUUAAAUGGCAGCUUCAGUUGAACCAAUAGUUGCAGGAGGAGCAGGAAGCAGUAACUGAAACAUAUACAACAUUAAUUCACUAAUAUAGACACAUGGAACUAUAUCCUAAAAGUCAAAACACAAGGAAUUAAAGUAUAUGUACCAUAUUUAGUAUACAAUAUAAUUUUACUUCAUAUAUAUUACUUCAUAUAAUUAUUAUAGUAAUAAUUAAAUUUAUUAACAAUCGUCAUAGUACAAAAAUAGGGAAGAAAAAAUUAGGUGUUGGUUAAAAGCAGCCAAAAAAAAUAUUUUUGUACAAAAUUAAUUCAAAUACUAAGUAAAUCUUGAUAGAAUAACCCAAACAAGAAGGAAUUAUAUAACCAACCUACAGUGUACAAAAAGUAACAGAUAGGCAUUUGAUACUUGAUAAGGAUGCUAACAAACUGAUACAAAAAUUAUCAAUCUGAAUGGCUGAUCAUUUUUUCAAUUGCUCCCUGGAAUGCAUUGAUUUAUCAAAUUAGAUUCAAUACACAGAACAUAAAUGUAAAAUUAAUUAAUAAUAAAACUUGCGUCUCAGAAACAGAUACAGAAGAACGACCCUGAAAAUGUUUAAAAAUUAAAUGUCAACAAAAUCCAACUGAUUUGUACCAAAAUAGAUCAUCUUCAAACUACAACCAUCUAAAUUGAAAAUUGAUAUAAGGCAUAAUGUGAGUAAUCCUUAGUAAAACUUCAUGUCAGUUUUGCGAUAUAAUUCAGUCAAAAUAAACUUCUCAGCCCAAAAAUAUGCAGCAGUUGUUGCAAAUGUUUUUACAUUACAUAUAUUUAUAAUCCAGUAAAAAUAAACUUCAUGUCAGUUUUCCUAGAUAUAGAAAAAGGGAUAGAAAUGACAUCCAUAUUUAGACAUAAGUAAAAGUUUACAAGCUGCAGUGUUUGCAAAAGCUAAUCAUGAAAAUAUUGGUCAACAGAUUGUUGCAGCACAUCAAAAUCUUGUUGUAAAAGAUUGUUGAUAUUAGCAAGAAGUAAACUUUGGCCUCUAGCCUUAACAAGUGAUGUGAUAAGAGAAGUUUCCAACCUAAGUUUAGUGUUAAAAAAUAUAUAUAUAAUAGGAAAAAGAAAAUGGGGGAAGCAAAUGUUUUAGUCGUUCACAUCUGAGCCUAAGAAUCAAAAGAAGUUUAUAAGAAGAAACUCAUUGACAGACAUUACAGACAAUAGGCUAAAAACAAACAGAUCUGAUAAUAUAUUUUCAUCAAACAUUGAUAAUCAUAUAUAUUUAUAUGUUUAAAUAUUUUGAAUUUGGUAUUUUUAUUUCAAUUCAGGGUUGAUUUUGAGGUAACUUGGGUAAUUUUUUAAAGUAUGUUAUGUUAAUGUUAAAAGUAACUUUUUGUUAUUAAACUGUGUACGAACUUUGAAUCUAUUCAUAUAUAUAUCCCACAUUCAUAAUCAUUACAUAGUAAAAAAGAAAAAUGAAAUUCUAUUCCCAAUAAACACAUUUACUUAAUUUUAUUGAAAUAAAUAAAAUAAUUAAAUCUAUUUUUACACGAGUAUACAAAAAGUAAAAUAUAUAUACAUAUGAUUUCCAGUAAAAUUAAUUUGAUGUUAGAGUUGCUUUGUAGCUUCUUCAAGUAUCCCUUUAGAUCUUAUACUAAUAGAAAGUUGAAUCAGAACUUUUUUCCACAUCUGCCCAGUUAUGCUUAUGUUAAUAUGUGAAAUUCAGAUGAUACUAAUGUCUUACAAGUUGUAUCCUAUGAUACAUGAUGCUAUUUAUAUCAUAAAACACAUGGUGUCACUUCAUCCAAAUAGCUGCUUUUUAAACUAGGUUUGCAUGCAGUUAGUGAAUAAACAGCAAAUUAUUGAGGGAAGAAGAAUAGUAUCUCUUUAAAUGCCAUAGCUUAAAGAAUGGGCACAUUAAGAAACAAUACCAUGAAACCAACAUUUGAAGAAUCAUGUUUAAAUCUAAGCCUCACUGACACACAAGUAUACCGUACUAGAUUUAACCAAUUUUUUUUAAAAUCACAACGAUACCAAUACAAAUAUGUCUUAAUAAUCACAAAGUUUAGAAUCAAAUUUUUACAGUGCAGCACAAACAAACUAAAAAAUGGAAUAAUCUAAAUUACAACUGAGUAAUUGAACUAAAACUUGCAACUCAUAGUGGGAUUCAGAUACCCUAUAUACUGAAUUUUGAAUCUAGAUACUUAAAACUCAAACCUCCUCUCUUACCAACUGUGCUAAGACUUUCAUUAAUGGAGAUUUAACAACUGACAUCCAAAUUUAUAUAAAACAAUUAAUUAAUAUUACACAACCAAAACAUGACUACCUAGACGAUGAGUAGAUCAAGGGGGCAAAAACAAAAGAAAGCAUCUCAAAACUAGAAGCACCAUUGACAUAGUUAAUUAAACAAGCAUUUAGCAAGUUAGAAACAUUCAAGUACCAUCAGGCCGCAUUAAUCUUUUCCUUAAUAGUGGGUUGUGGUCCUAUUCAAAAAAAUAAUAAAAUAUCAGAAAUAUACAAGCUUGAUAAGGUUUUGCCUAUGUUAGCAAAAUAAAACAAGAAGAGAAAGGAAGAUUGAAACAAGAAAAGCAGAAAGACCCAGAAAGCAGGAAGACGUUAAAACAUACCUUGUAAAAUUUGGGUGUCAUUGGGAAUCCAUGGAAAAAGCUAAAUCCAAGAAGAUGCCCCCACUCAUCUAUAGAGACAGUUGAUUUGUUUCCUUCUAAAAUCGAGAAGAUGCGCCGGAUAUUGGGAAACUAGGGUAAAAAUUUUGGGGGAGAAGAAGUUGGGGGAAAUUUGGGGGAGAAAAAGUUGGGGGAAAUUUGGGGGAAAUCGGGGAAAUUGACUUUGGCAGAGAGUAAAGCAAUUUCGGGCCACACAGAAACGACGCCGUUUUAGUUAAAAAAAUUUAGAUUUUGUGGCGUUUUCAUAAAACGCCGCUAAUAAAAAUAACAACAAAGUAUAAAACGACAGCAUUUUGCUUCCAUGGAUAAUUGUGGUGUUUUUCAAUAAAACGUCGGUAAAUUUUAAUAUCAUUUAGCCUUUAUAUUUUUAUAAUAUUAUUAAUUAAUCAAAAUACUUAAUAUUAUUAACACUAAUUAAUCAAAACUCUAUACCUUAAACCAUUAAACUAUAUCCCUAUAACCUUAAUCCCUAAAGUAUAUCCCUUAAACCCUAAACUAUAUCCCCUAACCAUAAACCACAAAAUAAUAACCCUUAAGCCUUAACCACAAAAUGUAUAGAUUAAUCAUAACCUUAAACUAUAUCUCUUGAUCCUUAAACCACAAAAUAAUAACACUAAUUAAUCAAUACUCUGAACCUUAAACCAUUAAACUAUAUCCCCUACUACAGUACCGGCCUAAACUAUAUCCCCUAAACCUUAAACCACAAAAUAAAAACCCCUAAGUAUUAACCCCUAACCCCUAACCCCUAACCCUUAAAUCAUAAACCCCAACCCUUACACCAUAAUACAUAAAUCUUAAAAUAGUAACUCAUAAACUUUAAACCCUUAGUCAUAUAACCUAAAUCGUAAACCCUAAACUUUUUAGCGGCGUUUUACCAAAAGCGCCGCUAAUGCUCUUAUUUUUAGCGGCGUUUUACCAAAAGCGCCGCUAAUGCUCUUAUUUUUAGCGGCACUUUUGGUCUUAUUUUUAGCGACGUUUUACCAAAAGUGCCGCUAUUGCUUCGAUUUUUAGCGGCGUUUUACCAAAAGCGCCGCUAUUGCUCUGUUUUUAGCGGCGUUUUUGGUAAAACACCGCUAUUGCUCUAUGUUUUACAAUUUUUUUGGCGUUUUUUGAUAAAACGCUGCUAAAAACGCCGCUAAAGACCUGUUUUCCUGUAGUGACUGCCCCAAUUCCAUUUCCAACUACAUUAGAAGCCCCAUCAAAAUUUAGCUUCCAAGGAGAAUCUUUAGUCGUUGCUAUACACAUUAACUCCUCAUAUGGAAAAUCAAAGUUCAAUGGCUCACAAUCCUCUAGAGCCCUACUAGCCAAAAAGUCUGCUAUUGCACUUCCUUUUAUAGCCUUCUGACUUAUGUAGACUAUAUCAAACUCUGAAAGCAAAAUUUGUCACCUUGCCAUUCUCCCAUUUAGAGCCGUUGACUCUAUCACGUAUUUUAAUGAAUCAAGUUUUGAGAUAAGCCAAGUGGUAUGGUAUAGCAUGUAUUGUCUUAUCUUCGAGUUGUCCAAAUCAGCGCACAGCACAACUUUUCAAUCGGUGGAUAUCUCAUCUCACAGUCAGUGAAUUUCUUAUUGAGAUAAUAAAUUGCCUUCUCAUUUUUCCCUAACUCGUCAUGCUGACCAAGCACACAUCCCAUAGAAUUACUGAACAUUGACAAGUACAGUAUUAACGAUUUAUCUGGGCUAGGUGGAUAUAAUACCGGAGCAUUUAACAAAUACUACUUGAUCUUUUCAAAAGCAUUCUGGCAUUCCUCAUCCCAAGUACCUUGAUUGUGCUUUCUGAGGAGGCAAAAGAUAAGAUCAUAUUUCUCGGUUAGUUGUGAAAUGAACCGAGCGAUGUAAUUCAACCUUUCUAAGAAUCCUCGAACUUUUUUUUUGAGUUUAUGGUGGAGGCAAUUCUCGUAUUGCUCUGACUUUGUCUGAAUCAACUUCUAUUCCCUUUUUACUGACUACGAAACCUAAUAGCUUUCCCGAUCUAGCUCCGAAGGUGCACUUUACCGGAUUGAGCUUUAAUUGAAACUUCCUCAACCUCAAGAAUAGUCUUCUUAAAACUUCAAUAUGCUCUUUCUCUGUUCGGGACUUAGCAAUCAUGUCAUCAACAUAUACUUCAAUGUCCCUAUGCAUCAUGUCGUGGAACAAGUUCACCAUGGCCCGCUGGUAGGUUGCCCCUGCAUUUUUAGUCAAAAUGGCAUUACUUUAUAGCAAAAAAUGCCCCACAAGGUUAUGAAAGUGGUUUUAUCCAUGUCCUCUAGAUGCAUCUUUAUCUGAUUGUACCCAGAGAAACCAUCCAUAAAAGAAAACAACGAAUGUCCCGCCGUGUUGUCUACCAAAGUGUCGAUGUGCGGCAAAGAAAAGUUGUCUUUUGGGCUAGCUUUAUUCAGAUCUCUGUAAUCAAUGCACAUGCAUACCUUCCCAUCCUUCUUAGGGACCGGCACAAUAUUAGCUACCCAUUCGGAGUACUUGACCUCUUGUAAGAAUCCUGCAUCAAACUGCUUCUUAACAUCAUCUUUUAUUUUUAAAACAAUGUCUGGCUGCAUUCUCUGCAACUUCUGUUGGACUGGUUUUCAAUCUUGUCUUAUCGGAAGACGAUGUACUACAAUGUCGGUACUUAAUCCGGGCAUAUCCUGAUAUGACCAUGCGAAGAUAUCCUUGAACUCUCGAAGCAACUCAACCAGACCAUGCCUUGUGUCCUUGGUAAUCAGUGUUCCAAUUUUCAACUCAUUCCCUUCUUCUAGGGCUACAUUUUCUAUUGCCUCUUUCUCAUGCGGCAUAAUUCAUUUUUCCUCCUGUUUUACCAUUCUUAACAGAUCAGGAGACACAUCACAAUCUUGAAUAUCUUCAAAAUCCUGAGAUUCCUCUAAACACCUGUCUUGAUCACAAGAGAAAUCAGGAGUUGCAGUAUCAGUACUCAUAUCAUUGAUAUCUAGGGACCUGUGGGGGUAUGAAAGAAUAUACAAAGAAUGAAUGAAUUUAAGAAUGAUUAUUUAUGUGCUAUGGAUGAAAGAAUGAGAAUUGCAAAAAUUUAACGGAAUAUUGAUUGAUAAAAAGAAACAAUAUUCGUCCAAAUUGAUAAUAAAGUUAUGUUUUAUUAAAAUAAUAAUAGAUAAUCAUGAGCCUUUUUCACAAACGUAAUCUUACUACUCCUAGGCCCUAGAGUAACAGACAUGUUUCGAGAAUUACUCUGAAAAAUUUCUAAAGACUACAAGAAAGUCUUCCAAAGUCCAAUUGUUCAGAGAGCUCCCCGGUUCGCAAGGGCGAAUGCCCUCGAAGCUUUCUUACUCCCAUCCCUCAUUGUGUACAACAUUAAUCUGAUGACUUUCUUUUAUCAGUAACCCUCCUAUCUUAAAGGAUUUGGAUAUAGGUGGGAAUGUCAUUGGUUCCCACUCCACUUCUCCUCUGUUCAAGCGCGCUUUUCUUCUCGCUUGGCACUUCUCAAUCUCUUGCCUCUUCUACUUAUGGUCUGGCUUGAAGCCCAAACCAAAACGAUCUUUCUUCUCAAUCAGUUUUGGGAUUUGAACCCCUUCUUGUAACUGUCUUCUUAGUCAUUUUCCUGGCAAAGCCCCUUUCCCCAUCAUCAUUUGCAGGGCCAUCCUUGUGGCUCUAGACAUUUUGGGUACGAGCACCUCACUUCCCUCUAAAAUGAAGGUUACAUUGAUGAUUUCUAAAGAGCGGAAAGAACACUCAAUAGCCUCUUCAUUUAUCUCGACAUAAGAGGCUUUGCCAGUGACUGCUGCUAUAAUAUCCUCCUCCGCAUUGAUGGUUACUAACCGUCCAUCUGUCACUAACUUUAAUUUUUGGUGCAAUAAGGAGGGCACCGCUCCUGCCGAGUGUAUCCAUGGUCUCUCCAAUAAACAAUUAUAGGAGGGCUUGAUAUCCAUCACCAAGAAAUCAACUUCAUAUGUAUUUGGCCCAAUUUCCAAAUGAAUGUCAAUUCGUCCCAUCACUUUCCUUUUGGUUCCAUCAAAGGCUCUUACUACAUUGUGACAUGUUUUCAUAUGCGAACUGUCAAUGGGUAAUCUGUUCAAUAUGGAUAAUGGAAUGACGUUCAAAGCCGACCCAUUAUCAAUGAGUACACUUGGAAGCAUGUAUCCCUUGCACCGAGUAGUGAUGUGCAAGGCCUUGGUUGACCCUAUGCCCCUAGGUGAAAUUUCAUCAUCAUUAAAGUAGAUGAAAUUGUCAGCAUUGAUGUUAUUCACCAACCGGUCCAACUUGUUAACGGAUAUGUCGUGGGUGACAUAUGUUUCGUUAAGUACCUUUAACAAUGCAUCCUAAUGCACCUCAGAACUCAGAAGUAGGGCUAAUACUGAUAUACGCGCCGACUGCUUACGCAACUGCUCGACCAUACUAUACUCACUAUGCUUAAGGAACUUUAGAAACUCCUUAGCCUCAUCUUUCUUUACCGGCUCCUUGCCAGGUACUUCAACCUCUUUCUUCCCAACGUCAACAUCCUCUGUUUUCGUGGGAUCCACUCUGAUGCCCCCCAUCAUAACGCUUCCCACUUCAUGUAUGAGAACCUUCAUUUUGCACACCCCUAGACGCACUGGCUAUGCUCUCCCCCUCAGGUACUGUUAUACUGCAGCCAUAGCUCCAUGGCACUCUCCUCUCAUCCUUGUAAGGGAAAGGAGUGGGUUUGUGGAUGACGACCUUGGGUUCGGUUUGUGCCCCUACUUCAUCAUUUCCUGGCAAGGAAAUAAUAAUUCUUGGUCGGUUGAUUCCUCGUCGUUCAUUUUCCAACACACAUAUUUGUCUUUUGCAAGAACUACCCUAAAAAAUCUGUAGCUCUUUGUUAACCAUAAGGCCUUGCACCAUGGCCUUGAACUCCUCACAAUUUUGGAUCAUAUGACCCAUCUCUCCAUGGAAUUCACAAUAGUUCCCCAUUCUUUCUCUACCUUUUCCAGAGGUCAACAUUCAUCUCCUCACCAUCUCCUCCCAUAUUACUUUCAUGGGUGUCUUCACCUUAGAAACAUCUUUCUUGAUUCUUCCUUCCUUGGUUUCAUUAAUGGCAUUCACUCUUUGAUUGCCAUGAUCUGGUAAUAGACUUUCGGCAUUAGGGGUACUGUCGAAUUUCACAACCCCCAUCUUGAUAAGCCUCUCCACGGCCUUCUUGAAUCUGGUGCAGUUUUCAAUCGAAUGCCCCGGUAUUCCCGCAUGAUAUUCGCAUUUAGCAUUUGCAUCAUACCAUUUGGGGUACGGUGGCUAUACUGGCUUCAAGUGAAAGGGAGCAAUAGCAUGUGCAUCAUAUAAGCUUUGAUAAAGCUCAUGAUACGUCACAGGGAUAGGCGUGAAUUGCAUCCUUUCCGAAUUCUAUCUUGUGCCCGAUUCCUGUCUUUGAGUACUUUGUUGCUUGAUCGCAGCUGCUUUGGGUUGACCAACUGUGAUUGCCCUCGAGUUGAGACUAUUCACCUCAUUGUCCUUUCUUCCCUUGGGCUGAUCUUUUUGUCGUUUCUCCCUUAAUUUUACCGCCCCUCAUGGCAUUCUCAAUCAUCUCUCCUGCCAUAACUAUAUCCACGAAACUUUUCGUGGUGCUUCCAAUCAUGUGUGUGAUGAAUGAUGCCUUCAAAGUGUUGAUAAACAACAUGGUGGUCUCUUUUUCUAACAGUGGCGGUUGUACUUGCAUUGCUACUUCCCUCCAUCGUUGUGCGUAUUGCCUAAAAUUUUCAUUAGGCUUUUUCUCCAUAUUAUGAAGCGUGAUCCUGUCCGGCAUCAUAUCAGUCACAUGGCUGUACUGUUGUAUGAAGGCUUGUGCAAGAUCUCUCCAUGAACCGAUUCUUGCAUGGCUCAACUGAUUGUAUCACCUAGCCACUGCACCUACUAAGCUGUCUUGAAAACAAUGGAUCAAUAGUUGAUUAUUGUUCACAUACCCAGUCAUUCCCCUACAAAACAUUGUUAUGUGUGCCUUUGGGCAAGUAGUCCCGUUGUACUUUUCAAACUCCGGCAUCUUAAAUUUGUGAGGAAGCACCAAGUCUGGAACCAAACUUAAGUCUUUGGCAUCAAUCCCAUGAUGAUUGCCAGUGCCUUCUAAAACCCUAAAUUUCUCUUCCAACCACUUGCAACGAUCCUCCAACUGUUUUGAAGAUUCGGUUGCCAUUUUUUCCCUCUCCAUCAUAUCCAGAUCAGGAGUGAUAGAGUUGAUCAGACUAUCACCCAAAUUAUUUCCUGACCUAGAUAGGAAAUUCACGGGAAUUCCAGCAUCAACCGGCCUAUGUUGAGGCCUUACAGUGACAGAUGGCCUUCUAAGAGGUACCUCGGUUUGCAGUGGCACAUGAGGCAGAGUAAAACCCGGAGGGUGAUCCUCACCCUCUUCACCAGUGAUAGCUAUGUGGGUCUUCCCUUUAUCAGUGGCCCUUAGAAGCUGAGUCAUUUCUGCCAUCAUAUUCCUCUGAGCCUCUAACAUUUGUUCCCUCAUGUCAUUCUGCAUCUUGGCCAACUGCUCUUGCAAUUGGUCUUGCAUAUCUUUUUGCAACUGUUCGAACCUUUGAUCCAUACUAUUAGUUUUAGUGCUACUGCCAUAGGGAUGUGUGAUUUCCAUAUUUUCUUUUCUACCUCUCUUUCUCAAAAAGAAAACUUUAACUAAUUAAAGUCUUUCUAUAACUUUGAAUGCAUAUGAUGUGAUGUAAUGCAAAUGCAUGAAUGCAAAAAGGCAUCGAUCUCGAUUCAAUCUCAUUUAGAAAAAUUUAUUUAGAAAAAGAAUAUCUUUACAUAUAAAUGGAUUAUAUAUACGCCUUUGCCCUAAUGCCCAAAGUUCUAACUUUAUCUAAUAAAAGGGCUAACUCUCGACCUUUAUCAGACGCUGACUCAUACAUCAUACUCAAAGCAUCAGCUCGUAUUGCUAAGUCUCGAACAUAUUCAGCAACCUCUCGGAUCUGGGCUAUAGCCUCCUCAAUAAUGUAAUCCCUAUCUCUGACUUGACCUUUAACUUGAUGGAGCUCUUCUUUGAGACAAUCUUCUUGAGCCUUGAGCUGCUCAAUCCGAAGUUCACUAUCAUGCAAUGCCACUUCCAAAUCUUCAACCUUACUUUUUAGCUCCUCUAACUCGACUGUAGGAUCAUGGUUUCGAUGCCAACGAAGGGAUCUUCCAAGCUCAGUUACCUUAGUCUUCAACCCUUUAUUCUCUUUCUCUAAUGCCAAAUUCUGCGACCGCAUCUCUUGGCACUUCCUCUCCCAAUACCCGGCUCUAACUUUUUCCUUUUGAACUUAUUUCUACCACUGUUCCGAAGACAUUCCUAACCCUAUUCACUUUAAAGAUACUUGUGCCUUCUUAUACUCCUAUUUUAAAUAAUCUCGGUCUUUCUCAACCUUCCUCUUUUCUUUCCUAACCUUUUCAACCUCCUUCUUUUGCAGGUCGACAUCUAGACUCAGGUAUAUCUUCUCCUCCUCAAGCUUUUCUAUCUUUUAUUUGAGUUCCAAAUUCUUUCUCUUAAAUUCUUGCUUCAUGAUAUCAAGCUCCGAGGGUAUCACUUGUAGAUAUUCCUCCAUUGGUCGAACUUCCUCCAUUUUUCCAUAGGGACAUUAUCGUUAAUCCUUCUACUCCUCCACUCGACAUAUUCCGGUGUCGUAGCAGGAUUAAUGGCCACUCUCUUCAACCGAUAAGUCUUGUUCCAAGCACUAGAAACUUCGUUAACCUUCCUCUUGUAAUCAGCUCCUCUGUAUACAAACUCACUUUGAGCUAACCCCUGAGUCACUGUUACGAACUGUCUCAAUCCAUGCUGCCUCAGCACGAGCAAAAGGGCAUAACCAAUGCACCCCAAAUUCCCAAUAGGGGAAUCCAAUCAAAGCUGCCACAUCGAUAAAGUAUCUUACCAUGAACCAUCCAUGGAGCUCUCCACUCAACAUCCUCCGACUGAAGAUUCCGAAGUAAUGCUAUCCAAUUCUCCUCCGGCACAUCCACUUUUCUAGACGAGGCAACUAUAUCUUUCAUUGGGGAGUAGUUCUUAAAGAAAACUCGACAAACAAUCCUAUAAAUCAACCGGAAGUGACUGUAGAACCAAGCCAAAAGUAACUGAGCACAUCCUAUAAACCUGCCUGCACCAGCCCUCCUACAUACACCUAAGGACCUGAAUGUUUCCGCCAAAAUCGCAAGGACGAAAGUGACCCUUUUGCUGAGUCGAUGAAAAAGAUCCGUGGUUGCCUCGUCCACAUAUCCCAAAGCCCUAGGGAAGACCAUCAGUCCAUACAAACUUAAGGCAAAAAUGUCUACCUUCUUCGUCUCAUCAGGGUGUGUUAAAAUCAAAUCUUUCAAAGCGUCCCAUGAAAUGCACUUGCACUCACCCUUCUCUUUAAUUCUGGCCGUGACCUACUGCUCGCUCAUCUCUUUAAUGGCCAUUAAUUUCUUCCAAAAGGUAGGGACACAAGCAGCUCGAGAAUAGAUCCUAUCACUCUGAAACCUGGGACAAAGAAGUAAGGCGGUGUACUCCUCCACGGUAGGUACGAAGUCUACUUCCCUAAAGGUGAAACAACUGUACACCGGGUUCUAAAACUGAGCAAGGGCUCGGAAUAAGUGCUCAUUUACUUGAAGAUUGAGCAAGUAAGGUAAAUCUCUGUAAUUAUCGUAGAAUAACUACUUGAUCUCAUUGCCCCACUGAUCCCAAAUUUCCUUAAGCUCUUGGAGAUUAUUCUGUGUGACACUAAUACGAGUAUAAUCUAGCAGCUCUAACACAUAUCCCAUAGUUAUACUGUCUCCCUUUUCUAGUUGAGUUUGCUCUGACCAUCUAUGAACAUCGGCGUUGCCCUCCACUCUAUCAAGAAGUCCGUUCUCCAUAAUAAAACUUCCUAACUUAAAAACUGACCGUGAAUCGAUACCUUUGUAAAUGCAAAAUGACAUGCAAACAAAAGAAAAGAAAUAGUCAGUAUCACAUGAUAUCAAUAAAUCUCAAUGAUAGUUUAUAAGGGUAAUAUCUAAAGUUUAAUUCUAACUAAGCUGGGUUCUUACGGUUUUUCUAUAUGAGGUUAGUUCUAAAGUUUAAGGUACCCGAACCAGCAGAUUCCUCGAUUCUCACCCAUUAUAGGCUCAUUUGAAUCGAGUUCAGUUCAGGGGAAUACAUUUCCCUAUAGCUACACGGAGAUGAAAAUCUCACGAAACCAUAGGUACGAAUGUAUCCCGAAAGUGAUCCACUAUCCUGCACGGAGGCGAAAACCUCACGAAGGCGUAGUUUCUCACUCCCACUUAAGGGUGUAACCACAACGGUCAUGCAAAUGCAAUGCAUAUCAGAAUAUAGCAACACAUGCAAUAAUACAAACACAUUUAAUGCAAAGAGGAUUAAAUUUUAAAAUUUUUAAUUUUUGACAUUAAGAUAAGAGAUAAUCAAUUACAUGGCUUGACUCUCUUAUUAGUCCUCAGCGGAGUCGCCAAGCUGUCGAAACCAUUUUUAAAUCGAGUUUUGGAAAAUGGGAAUCGACUUUAAGAAAACGGGAGUCGCCACCAAUCUUUUUGGGUGUGAUUGGGUCACCUUAUAAGAUGUUUUGUUUUAAAACAUUAAUUUUGGUCUACGAAAGUCGAGAAAACAUAUUCGGGAUUCGAUUACGGUUAGCACCCUCGUAACGCCCAAAAAUUAGUACCUAAUUGAUUAUCAAGUGUCUUUAAUGCCGGAAAUUAAAAAAAUUAAGAUGCAAUCCUCUUUUAAUAUUUUUUAUUUUGAAAAUUAAGGUUCACUUGUAUCAAAUGAAUCAAAAUAUUACAUCCAAUAAGUUAGGACACAAUAUUUUUAAGACAUUUGACCCUAAGUUAGCCUUUUUGGAAAUCCCUAUAUCAAAACAACAAAACGCCAUAUCCAGUAAGUUAGGACACAACGCCUUGAAAUUCCGAAACAGUCGCUUGCACUUUGAAAACCUUACAAAUUUAGAAGGGUACUUGACUAUUCGAACUCAACAAGAAAAGUUGCAACCCAAUAAGUUAGGGUACUACUUUUCUCGAAAUUUUCAAACACCAAGCAUUGCCUUUAUUUUUUUUAAACUUUAGAGUCUCGUUUUUAAAAUCGAUACAUGAAGGAGCAUAUUAUCAAUAUAGAACAUCAUACAAGAUAACAUAUUAUCUUAAUAGGCAAGUAAAAGCAUGAACUUAAACAAAUUUUAAACAACGAACAUGGCAAAUUUAAAGCAUGUAAAACAUACAUACAAACAUAUACGACAUACAUUAAAAAUGAAUAAGUAAGCAUAUAAACAUAUAAGGUAUACUCUCUAUAUAUAUUUUUUUAAAAAAAUAAUAGACAAAAGAUGAUGCAUGGCAUACAAUUUAACAUAAACAUGCCUAAAAUAAUACCAACAUACAUGUCAAUUCUAAAAUACAACUCUUAACAAUAAUUAUAAAUGAUAUGUAAGAUUUAAUCAACUAAACAAUAUCAAAAUAAGAGAAAUACAAAGACAAAUAAGUAAAAAAAAGUAUAAAAAAAAGUAUAAAAAAAUAAUUAGAAAUAAGACAUUUAAAAGUAUAAUAUAAGAAUGAUAAAAGAGAACCCCUUUUUUAAAAAUACUUAUAUAUAAAUUAUAUUAUAAGGUAUAAUAGCUAUACAUAAAAAUGUACUAAGUAUUAACAUUACAUUUAUUUAUAAGGUUUUGAAAAUAUAUAAUUAAUAAAGAAUAAUGCAUGCUUUAUAAUAAAAUAAAGGUAAUGUAAAGAAAUAUAGUAUUACAUAUAGUGUAUAACACAAUUUACAAAUAAAAAUAUAUAAUCAUAUAAAUUAUGAAAAUAUAUAAUACAAUGUAUAUAAUAUAAUAUAUAAAAAAUAUCAUGAAAUAUAGUAAAAUAUAAUAUGUGAUGAAUAUAUAAAUAGAAUAUAAUAUGAUGAGGGAUAUAUAAAAUAAUAAUAAGUAUUUUACAUAUAAAAAUAUAGUAAUAUAAACAAUAUAUAAAACAUAUAAAAAACGGAAUGAAUAUAUAUAUAACGAAAUAAAAAUUUUAAAAAAAGUAUAAUAAUAAUCUAAUGAAUAAUUUAUAUACUAUUUAUAUUACUAAUAGUUUUUUUUAAAACAAAAAAAAAUAUAAAAUAAAAAGGAUUAAAAUAGAAUUUAAUUAAGAAAUCUGGGGGUUAAUUUUCGAAAUAAUAAAUAUUCUGGGCCUGAUUGAAAUGCGCGUUAAAUUUAGAGGACUCAUUGGGCAAUUUAGCCCUAAUCCUAAAACGACGUCGUUUCUCAAAUACCAUUUUAAAACUACCGUGAGGACUAAAUUGAAACAAAAUUAAAUCCUUAGGGCUAAAUUUGAAAUAAACAAAAAUGGAAUUAUAAAUAUUAAAAAUGCAAGAGGACCAAUUGUGUAAUUAACCCAAUCCUUAAAAACACGCGGAUCCCCCCGGGUAACCGGGUCAGCGCGCGGAUCCUUAAUCUAAAAACGAUGCCAUUUUAAGCUUAUUAGGUUAAACCAAAACGACACCGUUUCGUUGGGGCUAUAUAAACCAAAAGUUAAGCCCAAAAUUCAUUUUACACUGGUUUUUAAAAACAAAAAGGUUUGAAACUCUCUGCAGAUGGGAAGAGAGGGAUUCUGAUCUUCGGCCUUCGACCUCCGAGCAACUCAGGCUCGUGUGCCUCACGCGCCACCAUACACGGUGAUCGGAGGGUUAAACCCUCGCCCAUUUCGAUGCAGAUUUCGGUAUAUCAUCUCUCUUUCUUUAUUUUUAUCUGUAAACUAAGCAAACUACAUGUAAAAAUCAUAAAUAAUAAAGUAGAUCUGAAGAGGAAAAUCACCUUUCUCAGAAAGAAAACUACUUUUUGUAUAUAUCAGUAGUAAACUUUUACAACUGUUCGUAGAAUCCUUGUGUACAAGUUUGAAGUUUCUCUCUAUCCCUCGUGUGUUUUUGCUCUCUGUGUUUGUGUGUAAAAUCCCCUCCCUCUUUUGCAGAUUUGAAGAAAGGCUUUAUAGCCUUAGGCUAUUAUGUUUUAGGAAAGAAAUCAAAGAUUUCUUUCCUUUUUUGCCUUGGUUUUCUGUCUUUGCUUCCUCUUUUGUUCGCAGGUAAUCCACGAGAAUCUCGCUCAAUCACUGAUGUCUGCACGCUGAUGGAGCCAACGCCGGAUUCCGGCGUGUCUUGCGCGUCGAUAGUGGCGUGACAUCUGAUCACGACGCGCUUGGUGGCGUUGAUUGGGCCAUCGAAUUUGCACGAGAUGAAAGGUCGCGUCGCUUAGAGUGCCCGAAGCUUCCAGAAUUUCAUUACGGCGCUGAGUUCUCAGGAAACCCUAGGGUUUCCUUGCCUAUUUUUUGCUUUGGGCCUUUUGGGCCCCGUGUAAACCUAGGUCAAGGUGCUGGUUUUUUUUUUUUUGGGUGUAAAUGGGUCCAGUAAGCUUAAGUGGUUUGGAUUUGGGCUUUAGCACUGUAUUUAGGUGUUACCGGGUAGUACUUCUAUAUUGAAUCAAAACAUCUGGGCUUUGUAAUUGGACUUUUAAAUGGACAUUUUAAAUAAAUAAAUACUUAUUUAUUUAAUUCUUUUAUUCUGUUUUUAGCCGGUCAAAUUUGGGCUGCUACAGGGAAAUUAUCCUAUAUUGUUGAAAUGAAUGUCUAAUUGGGUUGUAUGCUAAAUAACCGGUAAGUUUACCUUCCUGUUAUCUGGACUUACUAAGCAUGUCAAUGCUUACCCUAUUUCAUUUCCCCUGUUUUUCAGAGCUUCCAGACUCGUGAAGAUUGGAAGACGAUUGGAGUAUUGUCAACACUAUCAACUUGUCUUGCCUUGGUAUAUAGAUACUUUUAUUUUGUUACAAUGGCAUGUAUAGGUUUUUGGUUAUUUUGUUAAAUGUGUCAUUUGGUUAGCCAAUGUAAGGGUUUGAAUGAUAUACCUAUUCAUUUUAUAUAUGGCCAUAAGGCAUGGCUCAUUUUGAUGUAGGAUUCACUCAAAGCACUCAAAGUGUUUAAGGUUCAAAUAAUGUACGCUUAACAAUCAAAUAAAGCUCUUCUUAAAUCACAUUUCCAGUCCCUCUUUUGAUAAGAGGAGAGAGCACAAUGAAUGCAACUCAUGAAAUAAAUCUGAUUCAACAGCAUAAUUUAACAUUCCCUUUAAAUAUAAAGACAUCAAAAUCGAAACUACUUCCCGAAAACAAUAAAAAAAUAAAAAUAUCCAACCUUUUCCAUCACAAUCCUACAUCAACUAAGCUUAGAUUAAACUCAGAUUUCAAUAGGAUAAUCACCAUUCUUUGAAUAAUCUUACUUUUCAUUAUUUUAAUUUCUCUUAAUUCAAAUUAGCUAUAAAUUUUAUUUAUUUCCAGAAAUUAAGUGCAAGCAAUAUAAUAUUUUCCUAACCCUAGGAAAGACAAUUUCCCAAAAGUUUAACAAAUCCAAAGUAAAUUAAAUAAAAAGGAUCUAAAACAGAGAGAUUGGGGAACGAAC
RNAcentral lists this long non-coding RNA (28142 nucleotides) under Gossypium barbadense (sea-island cotton). RNAcentral describes it as "long non-coding RNA (GBAR_LNC009580)". The record is from RNAcentral. Lineage: Eukaryota; Viridiplantae; Streptophyta; Magnoliopsida; Malvales; Malvaceae.